Strigops habroptila (Kakapo) is the source of this 16032-nucleotide long non-coding RNA. RefSeq lists it as uncharacterized. Lineage: Eukaryota; Metazoa; Chordata; Aves; Psittaciformes; Psittacidae. The record is from RefSeq and is a predicted model, not a curated record. The transcript has 5 exons.
UCCAUGCUAUCUCCUAAAGCAGUCAUUCUGAAACCCAAUCUGGGGACAGUGCAGACUAAAUAAAAUUUCAUUUUGAUUUGGCCUCCCGCUGAGAAUGGGACUGCUUUGUUUCAGCCGACAGAACCAGCAAGCCAGAAAGGGUCAUUGUGGUGGAGGAAAUAUUUUUAUCUAGGCCUCAGGAAACGGUGGUCUGGCUAGCAACUGCAGUGGUGCGAAUGGUUGGAUGAAGAGUAUUUACUUGGGGCAAAACAUGCCAUCACUUACCUCUGCCCCAAAACUCCUGAACUACAAGAGCUAAUCAAUGUCAGUGGCCACCUGGAAACACCCAGUGAGGAAGGACUGUGGCAGCCACUACCCUGAAAACAAACCUUCAAUCUGAAGUGAGAUGAAAAGAACCAAUGUUGUUGGGAUGCCUAAGAUUUCAAAAUCUGACUUCAUAUUAAACAUGAAACAUGUCUUAAAACACAUCUUAUGGAUCCAGAAGAACACAUCUUUCAGCAUUUGAGAAGUAUUUAAAAUACUCCAGCAGAUGAAGAGAUGGGAAGAGCCUACAAGAGAAACAAUCGACUUGUGGUAGACUUGGAGUUUAGACGAACAGUGUCUUCAAGGGGCUGAUGACGGACGCAUCCUUCCUGGAUUUUUCAAAUUAGAGGCAAGUCUUUCAUCUCAAGAAGGAAGAUGCUUCACCUUCUCUGAGCUUCCCAGCCUUCAUUCCCACCACCCUCCCAAAGUCUGUCUUUUUCUUCUUCUUCCACCUCUUCUCCUGUGAACUUGCCCAUCUGUUUCUAUUUACUACCAGACUUCCCCGCUCCCACACUCCUCAUGCAGUUGGUGAACCACACAAUACUCUCCACCUGCCUCUUCCUCCCCCAGGAGUUUGCCAAUGGCAGCUCUUUCCCUCCUCUUCCUGAGCAUCUGUUUCCCCAAGUGAGGGGCGGCUCAUGCUAGGCUUGCUGUCUUUGGGGUUUAUGUGGCAUCCUGCCUCUGGGCUACAAGAGAUUCCCAACCGACCUUGCAGCUCUCCCAGCUCCUCAUCACUCCCUGACACCCACAGGCUCCUCCUCAAAUCAUCGGAUGCAGAGUGCAACAACACUGCAUGUCAAGGCAUCUGUGCAGAGGGAUAUCAUCAGAUGCUGCUUCUCUGGGAGGGCAUACCACUCUAGGGCACACAUCCACACACGUGGAUGCCAUGUUUCCAGCACAACAGCUCCUUCAUGAGCAUAUUAUUUUUUGCUUCCUCACCUCUUUUCAUGGUUGUAAGCUGCUCAGAGCAAGAUGUUUCCUUCUUAAAUACUUGUGUAGUACUUAGUGCAGAGACCCUGCAAAACCAUGGCCAAACAGCAAUAAAAAUGAUAGUAACAGAUACUGAAUGGGAGACUUCAGAAAUAAAGAAAGGAAACAAAAUAGGAGCUGACAUGAUAAAUAUUUGCAAAUAUUUGCAAAUAAUAGGUAGGGGUCAAUCAGGAAUUUCCAUCGUCCCUCUCCUAUCGUUACAUGGGGGUAAGGAAAUGCUGCCUGAAAGUAAAAGCUGGUCUUUGGAAACGCAUAAAAAGAAAAUAUUUCCCCUCCCCAGCCACAAUGUAUAAUUAGCUUGUAGUAAUAGUUGCCCUUGAGUGACACUGAGGCCAAGUACUCAGUAAGAUAGUUGCACAGAUAGUACAAAAUACUUGUAGUUAUCUAUUUUGUUAGAGGGAUACUAAUCCUACGCUUCAGGCUUUAGGUCGGUCUCUGUUAAAGACAAGGAGGAGAUCUGAUACGCUGCUACUUUCAGAGAAAUAUAUUAGACCUGAGAGACCUAUCAUCUGAUUUUGUGUGGCAUUUCCUGCAAGAAAGAGCAAGGAGGAAGCAGAAGGCUGGAGGGUCAAAAGUAAAAGUGUGAAUAAAAAAAAAAAAAAAAAAGAAAAAAAAAGAAAGAUCCAUCAGAAUAAAAAGAGAAUAAAAAUAUGGGACAGAAAAAGGCUAGCGUUGAAAAGAGAGUGAACUCUCUUUUACUUUGUUCCAGUUUAAUGUUUCCGUGGGGGUCUCCAGAAUUUUAUUUAAAGACUAUGCAUCUACCAGUGUUUUAUAGAAAUAUGCUUUUGAGGGUGAGACUAUUUGACUUGGAAGUUAUCUCCAGCAUUUACCUAGGUGAUUAUCAAUAUAUAAGUAAGUCUGAUUUUGUUCUCAGUUCCAUUUACAGUAUUAUUGAUGUAUUAUUACAAUUAAUUAAUCCUGGAAAAGGAUGUCUAACAAUUAGCAGUUUGUGAAGACCAGAUGCUGUGUGCUGUUAAAGUUAGAGAAAGUAUGUAUUAUAAAGCCAAUUACGUGCACCAGGUGUAAAGAUAAAAAAUUAUUUACUUUAAAAAAAGAGGCUAUUGGAACAAAUAUGAUUAAAAGGUAUAUAAUUGAUGCAUAAAACAGGUGGGACAGCAAAAGACUGAUGAACCAUUCUGGACAGGAUAACAAGCUAAACAUUUGUUGAGAUUUGAACAACUUUGGUUUGGUUUUGCUUUGGUCUUGAUCUUCGUGUCUUUCAAGGCCCUUGCCAGACAGCCUCCAAGAAAGAAAGAAGAACUGAUUUAAUCCAAAAUACUAAGACAGUUUGUUUUUCAUAUCUUACCAACCCACCUGAAAUUGUAGCUGGAUGUAGUCUUACCUGAAAACGUGAACAAAGUGGUACAAAAUUGAUCAGCGUCAUUGCAUAAUACGUGUUUGCACUGAAGCUCUUCUGAACCAUGUGUUGGAGUUACUCUUUUCCAAUAUUUGUUGGACCGUCCUUAGUCCAAGUGAACUUCAUGUCUUUCAAAAAUUGCUCCUUUAAAAGAAAAUCUAGCCUGGAAACAGAGUGCCUCCCCAGAAAUCAAAAGUAUUGACUGUAAGCAUAGUAUGUCCACCAACCAAAGUAGUGCUCCACAGUGUAAUUUUUAGUCUGUGUUUUCAGUUUAACUGGUAGCUCAGUGUUGUUUUGAGAAAACAUAGUAGGGAGUGCCAGUGAAACCUUAAAACAUAGAAAAUUAAAUCUGGGACAGAAAUAUCCCAUACAAAUAUCCAUCUCAUUGAGUUACUUUAGCGUUUCGGAGUUUUGUCUGGAAUUCAUGCAAGACAAUAAUUGCCACAUAAGCAAGCAAAGAGCAAACGUAUCUUUAUUUGGGUUACUCAGCUUUCUAUCCUACUGUUUUCUCCUUUAUAUUAGCCCAUAUUCCAUGCCCCUGGGCUCCUUACCAGCUCCUCAUUAAGGCAUGCACCUUCUUGUGGCUCCCUAUCAACCUCCUGCACUGCAGCAGUUAACCCAUUAUAGUACCAAGUACAUGACUGUUGCAGCAUUUAUUCAAGAUUCAAAAUAUUCUCUGAUUCUCUGCCAAGUUUUAAAAUUAACUUUGAAGGAAAAGAGAUGUAUUGAAACACAUCAGGUUUUUACCAAAAAUAGAUCAUGCCAUACUGCUCUCAUAACUUCCAUAAACAAUGGAGUUUUUUUGAAACAAGGAAAUACAAUAGAUCUCACUCCUGUGGGCAUCCAUAAAUUGUAUUUUAGGGAGUUACGGGGGGAGGGGUAUUAUCUAAACUGGAGAAAGCAGAGAUCAGUUAGAAGAACUGUAAGGAACUGACUGAAGAAGAGAUGACUCUGGGCUGUGCUGAAAAAGGAUCUAUUGGGAGGGACAGAGAUUAGUAGUGGAGUCCUACACAGACUGCUAUUAGGACUGAUCAUUUCAUAGGGUCAUAUUUUCAUUAAUAACCACAAAACAGAAGAGGAAGUACUCACUGUUGAAAUUUGCUGAUUGCACAAAGCUAGGGAAAACUACCAGUAUUGACUUGUAAUAGUGCAAACAGAGGAAAGGGAAGAAAAGUAAUGGGAAUGGACCAGGUGAAAUCCAGGAGUAUAGCCUCAUGAUGGUACACUUCAGAAGACAAAUAAUGAAGCAGUGGUUUUAGGUACCCAGUUUGGGUGGAUAUCAUUGCUUUAGCAGUUGGCUAAAAAAAAAGAUACAAGUUAAGUAAACAAUUUGGAUCACACUCCUUGCUAAUAAAAGGUUGCUGUGAGCCUUAGGUAAGUUAUGCCCAUAAAACAAAAGUGUGACAAGGGAGAGUUAUCUGGCAAUGCUGGGGGGUUUUCUGUUUUUUAUUGAAUGAUGCAGCUCUAGAAAAGUACAGGUACACUGUGUACAACUUGGGUUAUAGAUGUGCAAGAAAAUUAAUUCAAACUGGACAAGGACCAAGAAAGUGUACUGGGAGGAGGAGGAGAGGCUGUCUAAUAAGGGAGAGUAAAAGUGUUUCACUUGUUUACACAAACAAAACAAAGGCUAUUAGGGAACAUAACUGUUGUCUAUAAAUAUAUAAGGAGGGAGAAGAGCUAUUUAAAGGAUGAUGUUGACAUAAGAACAAAGGUUAUAAGAUGACCAUGAAUAAACUCAAACAGGAAAUUAAGAGGAAGUGCUGGAAUGAAAUCCUGGAGCAGCCCUCCAACAGGAACAGGGAGAGGAAGAAACUUCACUGGUUCCAGCAAGAAACUUCACUGGUUCCAGCAUGAAACUUGAGCACUUCAUGAAACCAAUUAUGUGACGUGUGGUUGACAGCAGAAGCUGGGGUUUGAACUUGAUUCAGGAGGUACUUUUAAAUCCUAUAUUUCCUAUGUUUCCACGGGAAGCUGAUUUAAAUCUUCGGCAAGAGAUGUCUUAGAUGCUGAUAACAGUAAUUAAUACCUUACACUCCAGUAAUACCCUUCCAUCUAAAGACCGCAAAGCACAUUGAACACAUGUGGGAAUUAAACAUCUAAAUAUUCACCUGUGUUGUUACUGUUAUUCUGCAGCCAGGAAAUUGCAAUGCCCUGAGCAACUCUUUUUGGAUCCCUUGGAAAAAUCUGUAAAAAUGAAGAAUAGACCUCACAGAUCUCCUAGUUUUAAGAAACCUGUAGUUCUGAAAAUUGUCAUCAUGUUUUCAAAGCUUUUUAAUUCCAGAAAAUGUAUGAAUUGUAUACAAUUGUUUGUACAAAGCUAUAAGCCAUAUGCUGUUUAGCUUACAAUGUCAAUGAGCAAGUCAGCAAGAAAAUGAAGGUGUUUGUAAAUGUUGCAUUUAAAAAGCAUUUAGAAAAAUGAGAGCGACCCUCCAAAGAUGUAUGCAUCUCCAAAAUCAGAACAAUGCAGUAUUUCAGUCAUUAAACGUGACACGUAGCUACAAAUAAGAAUCAUAUAGCUUGAAAAAAUGUUGUUUUCCUCUUGGGGAGUUAGAACAGCACCAGUUCCGUGUGUGUUAAUUCCCACUCUGACUUCCACUGGGAAAGGCGCCAGGGGUGGCAAGGAUUGGAGAGCAGUUGAUCCCUGGCUCUGCUCCCUACCCUGAAACCCUUCCCUCCCAAACCUGCAGAACCCCAGCAUCACUUUCCGGCAUGUGAACCGGCAUCCAGCACACAGAGGAGACUGAACACACUGGUUUGGCUCUUUUCUGAGGGUUUAGAAUCCUCUGUCUCACCCCUACUCUUCCACCUCCUUUGAAAGGGGAUAAGUCCUGAAGUCCAUCUGAUUUCUUGCUUGCACUAUGCUGAUCCCUAAAUAGCAAACCACUGAAUACAGAGACAUAUUCAGAAGAGCAGAUUUGCACAAUUCCCACCUACCAAUAACCUCCUGCUUCUUCCAGUGUCAUGCUGGAUGCUGGAUAUGGUCCCUGAACAGUAAGGCUACAGGCCUCUGCUCCUACAAAUUCCUCCGCUCUGUGACCUCUGCCGAGGUGUUUACAAGCCCCAAGCAACAGUGAGCCAGACAGGCUUCCAUGCGUGUGUUGAGCCAUACCCCAGAAGAACAGGCUUUGCCAGAAAAAUAUAUACUCUAAAUCAAAGGAAACCACACACAUAUAGCUGAGCACAGAAGUUGGCUCCAGCAGUGCGUAGACCCUGUUAAAAGCAGGUGCCUGAAACAAGACCAAGUACCUGCCCAGGGUAAAUCAACUUUAAGGAUGAAGACUACAGUUCAGCAAAUCUGUUGUGGGAAGCAAUGCUGUGCUGGGGGCAGAGAGGAAUGGGAAAGGCACAUAGAGGAUUUGUCAGUCAUCUGAAUCCGCUCCAUGUCAAUAAAGCCAAUUAUUUUCUAGAUGGCUAAAAUUUACUUGUUCUUCUUUAUGACCAGGAAAGAUAGACAAAUGAUGGUUAGACUGCCCACACCCUUCACAUGUUGCUGGCUUUUCUGGACUGUAAUCUAUCCAGUGGGCAAAACACUGAGCCUUGUUUUUCUAAAGCUCAGAACAAUGAAGCCCUAAUUCUUAUAAUACCAUACAAAUAAUAAAAAAAUCAUAGGAAUUCCCAUACAAAAAAAGGCCAGAUUCUGCCUAUAAAAUAUAUUGCUCUGUUUAAGUCAAAGGAAAUUGCACAUGUGUAGCUGAGCACAAAAGUUGGCUCAAAGCCCACUUGUAACUAAGCUGUGCAUGUGAGGACAGAAUAGAGCCCAUUGCCUCUUGAGAGCUUUUUAAUUGUUCUUUGUUGUUCUCUAAGACAUCAAUUACCUAAACUGAAAAACAGAAUUUUUCUCCAGUGUAACAUGUCUCCGACAGGCUAUUUAAAAAAAAAAAUUUAUUUUUUAAAUCUGUUAACUCCCACUUUAGAGACUGUUGAGAGAAAGUAAUUUGUAUCUACAGUCUCUUCCUAUGGACCUACCCAAGGAAAGCCCAAUCUGCUGUGGCUGUUGCCUGGAGCAGCCUCUGAUGAAGUCCUGCCCCAACUCACUUCAUAGGCGACAAGGGGUGAAGAGUUUCCUCACUCAAGUUCCCUCACAGCCUUUUCAAGGCUGCAUUUUUCCACAUAAGGACUAGAAGAUAGGCUGCACUAGAAGAUAGACAGAGUGAAAAAGUGUCCUUUCUGGCUUUCCUCAGCUUAUAAUAUAGUUUUACUAGCCUUCCCUUGAUGUCUGCCACUGCCCCUUUUUAAGGGCCUUCUGAAGAGUGAAGUGAAAUGUAAAGAUUAAUACAGUUUCCAACCACAUUAACUUUCCAGUAGUUUUUCUGCAGAGUUUUAGCACAGUGGGGCGCAUUCCUUCCUAUUCCUCCCCUCUUACCUCUAGCAUUUUCUCUCUGUCUCCCCAGAAGAUCUUUGCAGAAACACUAACAGAAAAAAAGUGACAUGAAGGCUUCUUUCCCUACUUUGCUGGAGAAAGAUGAUAGUGUGAGAAGGAUGUUUAGCUUAACAUCUCUUCAUGGCUGCUGCUUCUGCCCUAGAACACACUGGCAUAUCACCUCAGAUCAGUAUGUUUAGAAAGAUCUGUAUAUAUUUUUGAUUGGAGAAUCUGCCUUGCUUCCAGAUAGGGCUCUUAAAAUCUGAGGAGCCAACUGGAAAUCUUGAAGAGUGUGCAUCUGGCUGAAGCAACCUCAAACCAAGCAAACUCAACAAGACAGUCUCUCAUCCCUGUCCCAAACCUCCUUCUUUCCCAGCUUCACUACCCACCUAAAAAGGCUCUGAUGACAAGGCAGAACUGAGUCACUAAAAAUAAAUCCCCAGCUUGUGUUAACAACCUUCAUGCAUCCACCUUCUCACGUCCAAAACCCCAACAUCAGAAACAAAGGUGUGUUCAUUUUGGUUUUUUGGUUUCAAAGCAGCUCAGGUAGAGCAGAAGACAAUUCAGAAAUUAGAGAAAAUCUACAGAAAAAAAAAAAGAUGAUGAUAAGCUUAUAAUGUAUAACUCAAAGGUGUUUUACCAACAUUUAAUAACACUGUGGAGGGAAGGAGAAGUUGAAGGAGCAGUUGUUUGCUUAUUAUUUUCAACUUCAGCAUUCAUUUGAUAGAAGGCUCAAACGCAACCACAUUAAUAGCUAGGAGGUGCACUUCGCUGUGAGCUUGUGGGAGGUCUUGUGCUUGAAGACACUGAAGUAUUUCGCUUUCAAAUGCUCUGCACUUUUUUCUUUUUCUUUUUUUUAAGAGUUAUGGGAUUUAAUUAAAUUGGUGGUCUGCAGGCUUUUUUCAGUCAGAAGUUACAUGUAACCUGCCUCUUGUAUCCCUCUAUCUCUCUCUCUCUUUUUCCCUUGCAGAAGGUUUUGCUAGGCAUGUACAUCCAUUUCAGAAUCUAAUCAUAGACAACUUAAAUCUUUCCAACGUUACCCACAUUAGUAAUUGCAAAAUAAUAAACAUGACAAAAUUCAGAUUAAUAGGGCAUCCUACACAACUCAGAUGGCAGCGAGAGCCCUUUGGAAUUCUAAGAGUAAUAGGUCUGUGUUUAUUUCUCAACCGAUGGCAUAAUGUGACUGAUUUACAAGAGUUUAACUCAAGUGUUAAUCUGACAGUGACGAAGAGCUUCUCAGUGGCAGAAUCACUUACACUAUCAUAUUAGUUGCCUCCUCUAUUAAAGCAGUAUGGUCGAUAAUUGGAAUGCUUUUAUGUCUAGUGGUUCUGACAAGGCUCUCUUUAGGUCACAUAUGGGCGGUCUGGCUUGCUGCACAGCUGAACAGUGGCAAAUGAUUUAAACUGAGAAAGUAUUGUUCUCCUCGUAUUAUGGAGCAAGGGCAGUUCAAGGAAAGUAAGGCUCUGCACUGGCUACCUGCUGGUGUGUAGUAAAAUAAGAUGGACAUGAUACUGGGUUGGAAGUACAAUUAAAUCUAUUUUGCACCUAUGUGUUGGUGGACAGAUGAGUUUCCACAUGGCAGAGCUUUAUGAUCUUUAAGGUAGACUGAACUAAUAGAUUGGUGUGGAGCGCGCUGAAGUUACUAAGGAUGAGAAAGCAAGCAGCAGUACAUUUGAACUACAGGUUUCUCAUAUGCUCCACGUCAUGCUGAGUUUUUAUAGCUCCUGGCUUUCAAAAAGCCUGUUUCAAAGAGGUUUGCGCUAGACUGGGCAUGCAGUUUUGCUCUGCAGAUAUUGUCGCUACCGAUUUAGUGGAAUGCAAUUAGGAAGCCUAAAUUAAGUGGUAAUGGAGAACCAGCUCUUGAAACUGGGGUUUCCACGGCAACCAUUGCUUACAAUACAGCCUUCAGUUAGUUUUCCCACUUUAUCUGCAAAAUGCACAAUUGAGCUUUAAAACAGCUUUGUGCUGAAAAGCGCACUGUAAACAACUGUUUGCAAUGAGAUUUUUACACUGUCUUUAAAUACAACAAGCUAUCAAAUAAAAUUUACUUGUCCACACUAAUAAAAAAAAAAAAAGAAUCCAUGCAGUACAAGAAACUAAAGGGUCCAGAAACUUAUUAUUCAUUCUGGAAAUGUAUAUAUAAUACAAAAAUUCAAGAUCUUGUGGGUCCUCAGUUUGUCUUUUAAGUCUUAUCGUUAUUCCUCAAUUUUAAGACACAUAAUCCCAUAUCUCUCAGUACUGAGAAGAACUGAGUGUUUUGGUACAAAUACUGCAUUUAUCGCAAUAGUAAUGCUAUAUAGUUAGAAAGUGCUUUUUGUCUAACAUGAGCUAAUAAAUGUGCAUUUUCAUCAGUUCCUUUAACAUCUAGCAAUCCUUUACAGACUUUUUUUUUCAUUUUUCCCUCUGUAAUAUAUUAUUAUAUCCUUCAUAAAUGUUCAUAUUUUAUGGCAAAGUAACACUGUGCCACCUCUGAACUGCUUAACAUUCUUGAUUGCUUUAGGAUCAUAGCUCAACUUUUGCAUGUUGUCAAAUGUAACCACAGGCAAUUAAAUAUGUGUAAAGUACAGGAAAGUGGAAAGGUUGAUGUUAAGGUCAUAUGUGUAAUUUGUAUUGACCACCCUUUUCAUGAUAACCCCCUCAAACUGAACCUCUAAACUGAAAUUACGUAUUUGCAACCAAUUGUUUCUCCUCUGUUAUACAAUCACAAGUCUUGGACUAAUGCUGUCAGGUGACUUGUAAGAGCUGAGAUCCUGGCAGGUCUUAAUUUUCCCUUUGUUUCCCUUUUACAGCUAUUUGUUUUAAUCACGAUAAAAAUCUAACAGAAAACACUGUUUAAACUUCACCAAGAUAAUUUCAGAAGAGACAUCACUCAGUUUUCAUUUCUGGCCUAUCAGCUGUUAGAGUACUCUUUUAAGGCAGUGUUCUUCGGAAAAAGAGAAAAAACACACCACCAAAGGAUCGCACAGCAAGUCAAAACACACCUAAUUUGUGUUUCAGCUCAAGUAUAGCAACCCAAGCACCUUGCAGCCUUUCACGGCUGACACACUUGUGAGUGUGUGUGUUACAGCAACCAUGCCAGGUCAAUGCAGAGAGAGAGAAAAAGGGUGUGAGGGUGAAGGUGGUGGGAAGGGGAGAGAAAGGGGAGGUGUGGGUGCCUUCCCUUGGGAGCCUGCUGGUCAGAGGACUGUACCACGGCAUCCACACUCAUGUAUAAAUCUGGAUUUGAUGUAGUUUCCGCAGACUUUGAACGUGCCAGGCAGGGAAGCCUGCCCUUCACAGUACGGGUGCGCUUUCAGACGCGGUGAUCAGGCUGUGUCUAUUCUGAUCUGCUUAAAACAGCCUUUUCAGUGCUAACCAAAACAAGAAUGAGGACAGGAAGGCUGAUCGCAAAGUUCACAUCUCCUCCGCUGUGUGCCAGCACUAAUAGGAGUUUCUUCUGUGAUGGGUAGGUCAUAAAACACACAGCUGUAGAGACUGUGCAGGGUGAACAAAUCAAAGAACUUAGCAAUAAAAAUGAUGUGUGUGCCAAUAUUAUUUCAUAUUAACUUGUGAAAAUUGUUGAAGAAACACAUCUUUGUCAUAUAUCAGAAUUGGCUCUAAAGCUGAAUCAACGGAUUAAUAGGGUUAUUUGUAAUGAUAUUGUCCCAUAAAGGCUUUAUUAUUUAGGAAUCAGAGUUGGAAAUUGUAAUUUCUUCAAUGAUUUUUCAUCACAUAAAUUGGCCUGCCUCAACUCCUCCGUCUAGAAGGCAAGAGGAGAGGUUGAGCUGGUCCCCAUAUUCAUUCUUACACAAAAUCUGCUCAUUUGGAUGGAUCCCAAAUUUUAAAGAAACAAGUUCCUGGAAGGGAUGCAGAAUGCCAGUGUGCACAAGGCUUUCACAGGGCAUCUCGUUUCAACACUGACUGCCUGCAUUUUAUCAGAGUACUAAAGGACACAUUGAAAUUAUUUUGUUCUGGCACCAGCGCGCGUUGUGAUGUGUGUGCAUUCAAUUACACUUGACAAAUCUUUGGGGCAAACAAAAUGGUCUAAUGUAAGGAAAUAUCUUAGCAUAUUCCAAAAUGACAUUUUUAGACCAAACAUGUGUUCGAUUGAUUUGCCUUCUCCAGAGAUCACUUUUGAAUCCAGGCCCACGAUAAGUAGGGGGGCAGGCUCUCGCUGAAGGCCAGGCGGGUCAGCUGUGCUUCCGCUGGUAUUUCCUGAGCUGCAGAGUCCUGUACCUAACUGUACAAAUAGCUCCACAUGGCAUCCUGAGAGCGUGCCAGGGAAUUUUAUGAUCACACGCCAAGUAUGGUUGUCAGGUUCCACUCCACUGCUGUGUGUGUAUGUGUGUGCUCAUAUGUGUGUGUGGCUGGAGCUAACUUCAGACUGAGUAAUUACCAUAAUCCAAACAGGGCCUUUACCAUCUUAUUUGCAUUCAGCCAGCAGUGCUGUUUUUAUCAGCACCACUACUGAAUUGUUGCAAAGUUUUAAUUAUCUUGACAACUCUCCUUUUUUUUUUCAUUUGUUCCUUUUUUUUUUUUUUCUCCUCCCCCCCUUGGGUUGUGUUGGCUUUCAGCAGUCACCCCUCUAUGGCAGCAAUCAUAUUUCUGCAAUAGGAAGUUUUCACACUUUUUCUUCUUCUAGUAUAAUUCAUAGUAACCACCUCAAAGGCUUCUCAGAGUGGGGACAGAGGCAGAGGGAGGUUGUCUUUAUUAAUUAAUGCCUAAUAUUUUUCACAGCAAAAGUCACUCCAAAUGUCUCUUUUUAAAUUGUAUUUGAAUCACUGGUGUAACUUUACAUAUGUGUGUAGGCUUGCUGAACUGAAAGAAACCAUUUCUUAUGCAGAAAACUACCCCCUUGCAUAUAUGUUUGCCAGACUAGAGCUUUAGUUGUCAUGUUUUCUGUAUUUCCAUAAUCUUUUGAUUUAGGAUUAGUGUAAAAUGUAUCAUGUCACUUACUUACUUACAUUUGCUCUUUCUCAAACACUCUGCGUUUUCAGUAUCUGAAUGCAAAGUUAGGCAAAUUCAACCUUGAAAUAAGACACCAUUUCCUAGCAGUAAGGGUAAUUAAACACUGGAAGAUCUUACCCAGGAAGUAGGUGGACUCACCAUAUCUUAGAGUCUUUAAAAAGAGAUUAGACAACUUUCUGAAAGACAUGAUUUAAUACAGCUUCCAGGGAAAGAUUCUAGUAUAUGCACACAGGAGGUCAGACGAGACAGUCUCUGACGUACCUUUCGACUUCUGAGCCUGUUGGCCUAGAAAUCUAAGUUCAGAUAUGGUUUGGUUCAUGUUUAAAGAUCAGUUAUAAUAUCUACAUACAGAAAUUAUCUCCUGGGAACAUUAGGACAAAAUAUUUUUCAAAAUGGUGGUGCUGAACUAAAUUAGGUUUUGCUUGCUCAGUUUUCCAUUGCUUUUUGUUUUGCUUUUAUAAGUACUUAAAAAUCACAAACGUUAAUGCAGAUUAAAAUACUCCAGUAUGAGAUCGUUAUGGAGGAAUAGAAGGCUUUAAAGCCUAAAGAUUCACAGAACAAACGUAAAAAUUACUUUUAGUCCGUUGGAUUCUCAGAUGCAAUAAAUGUUUUAAAAAUAAGUACAGUUAAUAUUUUUCUAACCAUGGAAUACUAUGAUUGUAUUUAGCUUCUCAUCUCUUAUGAAGUUUAUGCAUCAGAUUGAAUAUAAUUGCUAUCAAAUGGUAUGGUAGUAUUCUGUUCUCCUGAAAGGUAAACAAAUUCUGCUUAACAGUUGUUAGACAUUUGUUUUGCUGUAGUUUGGUCUUAUAAACACCUUAUCCUUGUUUUCCCUUUAAAAGGAAAAAAAAAAAAAUAAAGGUAAGAACCAUUAGGGAUUUCUCUUUAAAUCCAGCAAUCUAUGCAUACUCCUAAGAAUCAAUGCUCAGUAAGCUGUCUGGUGUUCUGCAAUAAAUUCUAGCUUUUAUAGACUUUUGCUGGGCCAGGUAGCUGCUAAUGCCAUAGAAAUUGAUUAUUUGUGGUGUUCUUAUCACUGCUUAAAAUAUCUAAUUGCUUUUUCUCCACAGAUUUGGAUUUGGCUUGCUUGAUGCUGGGCGAUUAAUGAAGGAAGCCCUAACUGGACAAAUGUUAGUCUCCUGAGACAAUGUGUUGUUGAUAACAGGUCUGAUUUGAGCAAGUCUAGUCAAAUUUAAUUUUAAUAGUAUUUAAAGGUACAAGCAGGACACAUAUCACUGAGUUUUGGGCUGGUCUCUUUGGUUUUUAAGUCUGUUGUACUGCCAAAGUUUAUUUCCAUUAAGUAUUAAGCUUUGCAGAGCUGCAAAGACACAUAUCUGUCAGCUGUAGAGACAUGUAAUUUGCCUCAGUAUAGCAAGUUUUGUUCAAAAUUUGCCUUCAUUCUUUCAUACUUAUGCAGACUGGGGUAUGUAGUUCAUCACUGUAUGACUGUUCCUGCGAAGGAAUUAUUGCACUCUGAUUAUUUUGAACGCUAAAAAUUAUUGAUUGAGGUAAAGAAGAGACAAGAAGGUAUUGCAAUCAGUUCCCAAUCUAGUGAGGGCAUCCUUCUUUAAAGGCAUCUAAUCCUUAGCCUAAAAGCUGUAUGCAGUUGCUGCUCCUCCUGUAGGAUUUUUCGCAUAGCUGUGCCUGUGUCAUUUGUGUGAAGUUAAGUACAAAUCAUUUUCUACUGCACUACCAAAUCAAGAUAACCACCAAACAUCAAGUCACCAUCUUACUGGAUCACUGCUUCGAGUGUGAAAUUCAGCUCACAGCUCCGUCACAGAUCCAGCUGAGGAGCAAAGACAUCUCCCAUCCCACCAGAAUACUGGACUCCAAGAUUUUUCCCUUCUUCAUCAAGGUGAAGCAAUGAUGUCUAAAGUCAGUAGGGUCUAGAGUUCUUUCCUCCUUCGAAGAGCUCCCAUUUUCUAGAGACAGGUAAACCAGAGGGAAGAAGGACUUUCAUUCAUGCACCUUGUACUCUUGUUAACCAUGGCACCGGUCUUUCUUUCUUUCUUUGUUCCCAAAAGGGGUUAUUAAAAGGAAGGCUAACCUCCCUGAAGGUCUAGGCAUGGCACUGCACAUCGAUCUUAAGCACCACCUUGCAGAAGUGACUGCAGACACUUGUGUUUGUUGUCAUUUAAACACUAUGUGUGGAAAAGUGGAAUUCUCAGAGUGGGAAUCAAAACGGCUGCACAGGGAAAGGCUCAAGCAUAGGGACUAAGCUCCAGCAUGUAUCUGUAACCAUAGCCCCUUUUAGUGAUGUGGCCCCAACCCAGCUUGGGGCCUGGAGUCCUCUCGUCAGGCUGACACUAACAAUAUUUGAUUCAAAUAAAUCAAUAAAUUCACUCUUGUCUUUUGCAGCAUUAUCACAGUCAUAGCAGUGAUGCUGUAAGCCAAUCUUUUACCUAACUGCCCCAUAGGCAUUUAGGUGAUGUUUCACAUAUGAGGACAACCUACAUCUCUCCACACCCAGGACUAUUAGCCUUGUCACUUCCACCUUGCAGGGACACCCCUUAGACACAAUGCUUUGAAUCAGUGUUCCCUCUCUGUUGGAGACAUGCCACACUUCAAGAAGCAAUUUAAGGUUUAUUGGUCUAGAGAAAACAAAAGAGGUACCAUAAUUAUGCUUUUUUUCCUACUGUGCAGUUACCUAGGAGGAGCCCAUCUCACAAGCCAAGGCAUGUUAUGACUUAUCUAUUUUAGCCAGAUUAAUGUUAGUAUAGUCUAUGCAAAUGGCUGAUUUUGUACACCUAUGGAUUAAUGGCUUCUGCAUGUUUUCAAAGCAUUUCUAUAAAAAGGAAUUCACUAGAAAUGUGCAGUCCUGUGGAACGGCUGCUUCCCAAAGCUGUCUCCUCCAUGCAACCCUGCAGUGAUUCUCCAGCAAAACAAUGGCUGGGAGUUACACCCCUGAGGGACAGGAACACUCUCCCUUUUCUCUGUGUCAAUGUUCCCAUGUAAAAGGCACAGCAAGGAAGUCUGUUUCUCAAUAUUGUACCUACUUGGGGCUCCUGCAGGUGUGAUUAAUUAGGUGUGAUUAAUUAAACCACAAGUCAUGACCUUCUUUUUUUUCCUGUCACAUUACUUAUAAACAAGGAGGCAGUCAGUGAAGUUAAAUGGUAUAGGAUAGUAAAUUUAGAGGAAAUAGAAAUGAGUUGUGUUGCAUGUGGUCAGCCUAUGGGAUUUGCUGCUACAGGUGACCAUCUAACAAAUAGGGUUCCUUGGCUGGAAAGAGUAGUUGUUAAUGCUAUUACCAUAAUAGAUGGGACCAAUCCUAUAUUCCUGGGGCUUCUGGGUGCACUGGGAAGGCAGAAGUGAGUCCUGCUUGGCUAAUAAAGUAAGAGCAAGUGCUCCACAUUCUGGGAAGUCAGGCAGGAAUGUUGUUCUCCACAGACAGCAGCACUGCACUAUUAGCUUGAUCUAUGACUUGCCAUUUCGUGGUUUGGUUGUUUGCUUAUUUGUCUGCCUUUUUAAUUCCUCUGCAAAAUACUGUACUGGCUCUCUCUGUUGACUGAAUGACCAGGCUUGGGCAGAAGAUAUAGCAUUCUUCUUCUCUGGCCUUUAUAUCAAAAUUGAUUAACAAUAAUUCUUUUGCAGAAAAAAAAUGACAGUAAGAUGUGGAUGUUCAUCUUUAAUGAACAAAAUUAUCAUCUUUACCAAAGUGGAAACCAGCUAACUUUUACGGUGCGACUGACGACCUACUUAGCAAUAGCUGAGUAUUCACUCCUUCUUGAAAUGGUAAAGUAACAUUGUAUCCAUACCUAAGAUGAAGAACCACCUGUUGCUCUAGUAAUUUUUUUCUCUCCUCCGUAUAAUUUCUUGGGACCUUUCUCAUUACUUGCAGCAGCAGGAUGUGCUGGCUAGUAUUUAUGUAGUCAGAAAUUUUAACUUAGAAUUACAGCCUGUACAAUCCUGUCAAGUACUCAGAAUUGUUAUGUUUAUGUAUUUUAAUCUUUGUAAGGUAAGGAGUCCACUCAUAAUCUAAUUGGUUUUGUUUAUUGUUGUGUUUGCCGUUUUACAGAAUAGUUCACUGGAAGGUGCCUACUUUAUAAUGUCCUCACUUCUUAAUAAAAGAUCUUAUUUAAAA